This 824-nucleotide small RNA is filed under the name Pan troglodytes (chimpanzee). RNAcentral's name for it is "processed transcript". The record is from RNAcentral. Lineage: Eukaryota; Metazoa; Chordata; Mammalia; Primates; Hominidae.
UCAACAUGAGAUUUGGAGGGGACAGACAUCCAAACCAUAUCCCAUGGCGACACAAGAUGUACAGAGAGCAGAUGAACCUUACCUCCCUGGACCCCCCACUGCAGCUCCGACUCGAGGCCAGCUGGGUCCAGUUCCACCUGGGUAUUAACCGCCAUGGGCUCUACUCCCGGUCCAGUCCUGUUGUCAGCAAACUUCUGCAAGAUAUGAGGCACUUUCCCACCAUCAGUGCUGAUUACAGUCAAGAUGAGAAAGCCUUGCUGGGAGCAUGUGACUGCACCCAGAUUGUGAAACCCAGUGGGGUCCACCUCAAGCUGGUGCUGAGGUUCUCGGAUUUCGGGAAGGCCAUGUUCAAACCCAUGAGACAGCAGCGAGAUGAGGAGACACCAGUGGACUUCUUCUACUUCAUUGACUUUCAGAGACACAAUGCUGAGAUCGCAGCUUUCCAUCUGGACAGGAUUCUGGACUUCCGACGGGUGCCGCCAACAGUGGGGAGGAUAGUAAAUGUCACCAAGGAAAUCCUAGAGGUCACCAAGAAUGAAAUCCUGCAGAGUGUUUUCUUUGUCUCUCCAGCGAGCAACGUGUGCUUCUUCGCCAAGUGUCCAUACAUGUGCAAGACGGAGUAUGCUGUCUGUGGCAACCCACACCUGCUGGAGGGUUCCCUCUCUGCCUUCCUGCCGUCCCUCAACCUGGCCCCCAGGCUGUCUGUGCCCAACCCCUGGAUCCGCUCCUACACACUGGCAGGAAAAGAGGACCCCAGGACUUCUUCUCCCCCUCAGGUGGGAGGUCAAUCCCCUUUACUGUGACACAGUGAAACAGAUCUACCC